UACAUUUGAAAUACUUGUUUUAAUGGUAUUUUAUAAUAAAGCAGCUAUUAAUAACUUUCCUUUUUUUCUUUAUUCCAGCCGUCCUUGUGGCAUAUCUACAUUGGUUACAUUUAGUAAAACUUUGUGAAAAUUAUCGUCAUUUCUCUCACCUCUCAUCUUUGGAACGGGAGAUGACUUUUUGCACCGAAAUGGCUAGGUUUCUUCUUCUAACGAAUUAAUUUGUGGUUUAAGAAUAGCGAGACUAUGAGGUAGAGAUGUAUUAGGAAUUGAAAUGAACUUUUGGUGAACUGCACUGUUUCAUAAGCUAUAACCCAGGUUUAUUAUUUAAAUAGUAAAGUGUUUGAGAUUAUUUUUCUGUUACUUCAUUAUCUCUCACCCUUUCCUAAUGCAGACUUCUUUUUAAGAUAAUAAAGAUGAAUUAUAAUAGCUGAGAAAGGAGAAGAAUGCAAGCUCUGAAAUGACAUCCUUAAAUGCUGAUACUGGUUACAACCUCUUUACCUCUCUGAGGAAAUUGUAACAGUGUGUCUUUUAGGGUGUUUUUAUUUUACCAGCCCUUAAGAAAGAUCUCUAAUACCUUUUAAUACUUUUUUUUAUAAUUUCAAGUUGAAGUGUUUUUAAAAACACCUUGUUCUGUAAUGUUUUGAAUUUCUUGAGAUGUAUUUACCCCACUAGAUACAUAUUUGCCACUGGUUAGUUCUCCAUCUAAGCUCAAGAGGUUAUUCAUCUCUCUUUAGAUUCCAGUGGUUUUUCUUUUAACAUCCAGGUAAAAUAGAAACUGCUAUGGUAUACAACCAAAUUUUGGGGUUAAACAUAAUCAGAAAAGAAAAUCCACUUAAAUUUAUGAAGUGAGAUUUUCAGAUCCUAGAUCUUGAAUAUAGCAAAGGUCUUUUCAUCUUGAUGGCCCCAAAGCUUGUUGGUCAUAGUCUUUAUUUCUGGCCACUAUCUUCUUAAAUAAUAUAUUUUUAAGCCCUCAUUUAUUUUUGGUUUUGGAUGAGGAAAGUCAUGUUUUCUAAGUCCUCUCCCCUAAUAAAACCUACCCAACAAUAGUGCUUUGAAAAGUGGUAGUUAUCUUGAAGAUACUCUUGCCAAAUGCAAAGAUAAACAUUCUUUUUGUCUGCUUUAUAAAUAUGAAAUAUGCCAGAUCUAUAGUAUUUUAAUGUGCAUCUACUUUAAAUGAGUCAUCUUGGGGUUUUUAUAAUUCCCUUAUAAUCUUGCCCCUCUACACUUGAAAUAACAAAAUGCCUUAAUUUUAUAGAUUAGUUCUCUUAUAGUAGACAGGCAGCU
Molecule: long non-coding RNA, 1284 nt
Filed under: Pan troglodytes (chimpanzee)
Lineage: Eukaryota; Metazoa; Chordata; Mammalia; Primates; Hominidae
Description: long non-coding RNA NONPTRT015735
Source: RNAcentral